GACGAACGCUGGCGGCGUGCCUAACACAUGCAAGUCGAACGGAAAGGCCCUGCUUUUGUGGGGUGCUCGAUUGGCGAACGGGUGAGUAACACGUGAGUAACCUGCCCUUGUCUUUCGGGUAACUUCAGGAAACUGGGGCUAAUAUCAGAUAGGAGCUCCUGCUGCAUGGUGGGGGUUGGAAAGUUUCGGCGGUUGGGGCUGGACGCGCGGCUUAUCAGCUUGUUGGUGGGGUAGUGGCUUACCAAGGCUUUGACGGGUAGCCGGCCUGAGAGGGUGACCGGGCACAUUGGGACUGAGGUAGGCAGCAGAGGGGUACGGGGGGCAGCGGUGGGGAACCUUGCACAAUGGGCGGAAGCCUGAUACAACGGCCUCGGGUGCGGGAUGCCGGCCUUCGGGGUAUAAACAGCUUUAGCCUGUGACGAAGCGUGAGUGACGGUAAUGAAUAAAGAAGCACCGGCUAACUACGUG
RNAcentral lists this ribosomal RNA (468 nucleotides) under uncultured bacterium. Its description in RNAcentral is "partial 16S ribosomal RNA". It matches the Rfam family "Bacterial small subunit ribosomal RNA", at positions 28 to 507 of the family's 1533-position model. The record is from RNAcentral.